This 492-nucleotide ribosomal RNA is filed under the name uncultured bacterium. Its description in RNAcentral is "partial 16S ribosomal RNA". It matches the Rfam family "Bacterial small subunit ribosomal RNA", at positions 29 to 507 of the family's 1533-position model. The record is from RNAcentral.
AGUGAACGCUGGCGGUAGGCCUAACACAUGCAAGUCGAACGGCAGCACAGUAAGAGCUUGCUCUUACGGGUGGCGAGUGGCGGACGGGUGAGGAAUACAUCGGAAUCUACUUUUUCGUGGGGGAUAACGUAGGGAAACUUACGCUAAUACCGCAUACGACCUACGGGUGAAAGCAGGGGAUCUUCGGACCUUGUGCGAUUGAAUGAGCCGAUGUCGGAUUAGCUAGUUGGCGGGGUAAAGGCCCACCAAGGCGACGAUCCGUAGCUGGUCUGAGAGGAUGAUCACCCACACUGGAACUGAGACACGGUCCAGACUCCUACGGUAGGCAGCAGUGGGGAAUAUUGGACAAUGGGCGCAAGCCUGAUCCAGCCAUACCGCGUGGGUGAAGAAGGCCUUCGGGUUGUAGAGCCCUUUUGUUGGGAAAGAAAAACAGCAGGUUAAUACCCCGCUGUUCUGACGGUACCCAAAGAAUAAGCACCGGCUAACUUCGUG